RNAcentral lists this ribosomal RNA (400 nucleotides) under uncultured bacterium. Its description in RNAcentral is "bacterial SSU rRNA". It matches the Rfam family "Bacterial small subunit ribosomal RNA", at positions 355 to 752 of the family's 1533-position model. The record is from RNAcentral.
UAAGGAAUAUUGGUCAAUGGAGGCAACUCUGAACCAGCCAUGCCGCGUGCAGGAAGACUGCCCUAUGGGUUGUAAACUGCUUUUAUGCCGGAAUAAACCUCUCCUCGUGAGGAGAGCUGAAUGUACGGUAAGAAUAAGGAUCGGCUAACUCCGUGCCAGCAGCCGCGGUAAUACGGAGGAUCCAAGCGUUAUCCGGAUUUAUUGGGUUUAAAGGGAGCGUAGGCGGCCUUUUAAGUCAGGGGUGAAAGACGGUGGCUCAACCAUCGCAGUGCCCUUGAUACUGAAGGGCUUGAAUGUAGCUGAGGUAGGCGGAAUGUGACAAGUAGCGGUGAAAUGCAUAGAUAUGUCACAGAACACCGAUUGCGAAGGCAGCUUACCAAACUAUGAUUGACGCUGAGGC